GAUGAACGCUAGCGGCAGGCUUAACACAUGCAAGUCGAGGGGUAGUGGUAGCGAAUACCAGUCGAGACCGGCAAACGGGUGCGGAACACGUACACAAUCUAACCUUUAUCUGGGGCAUAGCCCGAAGAAAUUCGGAUUAAUACCCCAUAAAAUACAAAGUGGCAUCACUUAAUUAUUAAAUCUCCGGAGGAUAGAGAAUGAGUGUGCGUCCCAUUAGCU
RNAcentral lists this ribosomal RNA (219 nucleotides) under uncultured bacterium. Its description in RNAcentral is "partial 16S ribosomal RNA". It matches the Rfam family "Bacterial small subunit ribosomal RNA", at positions 28 to 246 of the family's 1533-position model. The record is from RNAcentral.